Molecule: ribosomal RNA, 253 nt
Filed under: uncultured bacterium
Lineage: Bacteria
Description: partial 16S ribosomal RNA
Rfam family: Bacterial small subunit ribosomal RNA
Source: RNAcentral
UACGAAGGGGGCUAGCGUUGCUCGGAAUCACUGGGCGUAAAGGGUGCGUAGGCGGGGCUUUAAGUCAGGGGUGAAAUCCUGGAGCUCAACUCCAGAACUGCCUUUGAUACUGAAGAUCUUGAGUUCGGGAGAGGUGAGUGGAACUGCGAGUGUAGAGGUGAAAUUCGUAGAUAUUCGCUAGAACACCAGUGGCGAAGGCGGCUCACUGGCCCGAUACUGACGCUGAGGCACGAAAGCGUGGGGAGCAAACAGG